Aedes aegypti (yellow fever mosquito) is the source of this 959-nucleotide long non-coding RNA. RefSeq lists it as uncharacterized. The record is from RefSeq and is a predicted model, not a curated record. NCBI's taxonomy places the organism in Eukaryota, Metazoa, Arthropoda, Insecta, Diptera, Culicidae. The transcript is spliced from 2 exons.
UUCAAGCUCUAAAUUUGCAAACCACCAAAAAUAAGUUGUAGAAAGAUGACAUGAUUGCAUUGACAUAUUGCCACUAAACAUCUGUAAUCUUGGAUAAAUAACAUUCAAGCAUCAAUGAUUUAAUUAAUUGUAGCAACAAUCUACUUUGCUACGCAAAAGUUUUUAAAAAAGUGUUUCAAAUUUGUUGGCAAUGCAUCGAAAUAUUUUAUGAUUUUCUUUGUCUUACUAUCAGGGCAUGAUUAUUUCUCUAACUUAUCUUGCAGAAGGAUUAAGCAAACAAUCAUAUUGCAUUCAUAACUUUCUGAAGUUAAGUUACUGAAUAAAAAAUCCAUAAAAUUCAAUCCGAAUAUUCUUGAAAACAAUGCUUUAUUUGUGAAAGCUUCUAAUGUUUCAUUAGUUUUCUAAUCGAAAACCCAGUUUUGAGAAAAUCGGCUUUUAAGUUUUUGAGCAAUUUUUCAUUUCAUACAAAUUUUACGGGAUCUAAAAAACAAGCCAAUAUUCUAUUUUUAUUUAUUUUAUUUAUUUUAUUGAUGUACAAGGGGGUCAGGGGCCAAGUCUCCAGCAUAAGUUUGAAAACUCAUACCGUUCAUAAUACACCGGGGGAUUUGGAGUUUUGGAAGUAGGCAACGCAACAUCUUUGACCAGAAGAAACUUUAUACUUAACAAAGGCGUAGAGUGCAGCAAGAUUGGUGGGCGGAUCAAGUGCGUAUCGAUUUGGCGAGCGUGGGGCAGAACCGAGGAUGGGGCAAACCGACGUUUUCUCGGCCAUUACGCUGCCAUGAUAAGAGAUGCCUUUCCUCUUCGAUGAAUUAUUCCUCGAAGCGGGUUAGAUAUGAAAACAAGGAUAAAGAGAGAAGGAAUGUUAGUGAUUGUUACAUGCUUUAUGGCAGUAUUGGCGUACAUUGAAGUCAUACAAAAUUCGCUCUUUGGAUUCCCACGAUAACAAUCCCUGAAACUAA